GCCAGGUAUGGUGGUGCACGCCUGUAAUCCCAGCAGCUUGGGAGGCUGAAGCAAGAGGAUCACAAGUUCAAAGCCAGCCUCAGCAAUGGCGAGGUGCUAAGCAACUCGGUGAGACCCUGUCUCUA
Molecule: small RNA, 125 nt
Filed under: Marmota monax (woodchuck)
Lineage: Eukaryota; Metazoa; Chordata; Mammalia; Rodentia; Sciuridae
Source: RNAcentral